CGCAAGCGCCGAGCGCGCCUGGCUUCCCCGGAGCAGCCGGGCAGCCGCCCCCGCAGCCAGUCAGCCGAGGCGCCAGGUCGUCAUGACAACGGGCAGCCCCACCGGGAUGAACCUCGGUGGGGAGGCGGGGAUCUUAAAAGGAAAGAGAGAGAGCCCCCUCGCCCCUCCCCAUCCCUUCUCCUGUUCCCUCGGUCUUCUCCUUUCAGCAAAUCAAUAAUUUAUCCCUGCUCCGGUUUAAGCUGGUUCCUUCCUCCCCCCCCUCCACUCCCUUCCCCCCCUCCCAGGACCGUCCGAAUAGGUUCUAUCCAUUGCACCACCCUGAUGUCUCCAAAUCAAUCUGCCAUUCAUUAGGUGCCUAUUAAGGACCCUGAGGUACAAAGACAGUGAGGGAAGUAUCUGCCUUCCUGCGAGCGGAAACCGAGUUUCAGAGAAGAGGUGGCUUUCUGGGAGAGAGAAAGAAGAGGGAUACUGAGAGACGAUCAAACAAGUUCUGCACUUUGAAGUCCAAAGCAAAGAACUCUAUUCCCUCUGUUCCAAGACACCUAUUCAGAAAUGUCAUCAGUGAUCACAUCUGGCCUAUAUCUUCUCUUCAUCAGACUAAAUAUCCCCAAUUCCUUUAACCAAAAUCAGACUACAGAUGGGAUGGGGUUUAGGGAAGAUAAACAACACCAGAAAGUGCAAGGUUUGAAUAUGGUCAUUAUCUCCUUCAUCACAGACCUUCCUCUGCUCCUUCCUCAUGACGUGUUUGUCAUCAUCCUUCCAAUAGGCAUCCUCCAGUUCCUGCUGCCGCUUGGCAUCAGCUGCUGCUUUGGCCUCAGCCUUUCUUGCUCGGGCAGCGGCCGACUUGGUGUUCUCGCCCUGGAACUUCUUGGGCAUCCCUCAGCAUGGACUUCAGGAAAAGAAGAACAAAGGUCAGGAUUGUAUGGAAGCUCCAGGGCUGUGCAUUCCCCUCAGUUCACAGAGACUAAGCAUCCAGUGCGGACACCCACAGCAUAGCUCCAGGACGAAUACAUCAGGGCCUCAGUCAUUGGCAAAGUAAGGGGGCUGGUCCAGAGGCCUUCUAAGGAACCUCUCAGGACUGAUGUUCUGUGUCCUAAGGACCCUUCCAAAACUGAGCAGCAAUACAGUAGCAAGUAGAUGAUGGAAGAUAAAGUUGCUAAGGGAAGGCUUUGUAGAGGAAGACAGGCUUUGGCUAACUCAUGGGAACAACUCUGAUCACAGCAUGGGACCUGCCUUCCAUAGGCUGAAAGGUCCUAAAAGAGCUUCUUUACAGCCUACCUGAGUUUGACUUUAAAAUUGUUUCAUGUGUGGGUGAAAUGAAACCUAUUAUAGGCCAAAUUGGCAAUCUAUUAGUCAACCUUUCUCCACCUGGUUCCUGAUCAUACCUGCCAGAUUCCUGGGGAGAAACUGGCCAACCAUCCAGUUCCCACAGCUUUUCAAACAGACCUCAAAAUAAUUCUGGCAAUAGUUUUGCUAUUUCAAAUAAAAAUUUAAAAUAUUUUAAAA
Molecule: long non-coding RNA, 1506 nt
Organism: Monodelphis domestica (gray short-tailed opossum)
Lineage: Eukaryota; Metazoa; Chordata; Mammalia; Didelphimorphia; Didelphidae
Source: RefSeq, a predicted model, not a curated record